This is a non-coding RNA of Pseudonaja textilis, 317 nucleotides long. The record is from RefSeq and is a predicted model, not a curated record. Lineage: Eukaryota; Metazoa; Chordata; Lepidosauria; Squamata; Elapidae.
GCAGCAGCAACAGCGGCGGCGGCGGCAGCAGCAAUAGCGGCGAGGGAAGGCGGAGCCAAGGGCAUGGCACGCAAAUCCGAGCGGCAAGCCCAGACGGCGAGAGAGGCGCGACGCGACCUCCGUUGGCCGGCUAUGUAUUUUUCAUGAAGAGACAUGUAUGUUGACUAAAUAUACAGAAUUCCAUCACACUGGAUUGCACCAUGUAAUUAUCAGAUUAGUGCUUCCUUCACUCCCAGACAUUUGUCUCUUCAGCAUUUGAAGCAUUCAAAUGUAUUAAGAGUAUGCCUAAUAAAACCAUUAUGAUCCAUUAAAAAUAU